GAAACGCGAUAGUUAAUGUGAAUUGCAGAAUUCAGUGAAUCAUCGAGUCUUUGAACGCACAUUGCGCCCAUAGGUAUUCCUUUGGGCAUGUCUGUUUGAGCGUCAUUACAACCCUCAGCUAACCGCUGGUUUUGAACCUGAACGGGUGACACCGCGCCGGUUUUAAAGUCGUAAGCUCUGCUGGCCGCUCUGCCCAACCAGAACAUAGUAAGCACUACUUGUCCGGGUGAAGCUGAACGGUACGGCCUGAACAAAACCUACCCACUCUCAAGGUUUGACCUCAGAUCAGACAAGGAUACCCGCUGAACUUAAGC
RNAcentral lists this unclassified non-coding RNA (314 nucleotides) under plant metagenome. RNAcentral's name for it is "partial contains 5.8S ribosomal RNA, internal transcribed spacer 2, and large subunit ribosomal RNA". The stretch from base 1 to 105 matches the Rfam family "5.8S ribosomal RNA", at positions 50 to 154 of the family's 154-position model. The record is from RNAcentral.